UUUCUUUCUUUCUUUUUUUAAUUUGCUUCAAUUUUUUUAUUAAAUUCGAGUUUAAAUAUUUACAGAUUUUUUCAUAAUAUUUUAUAUAUUUUGUGGCUCCACUAAUGUUUGAAACUACGAAAUUUAAUGGACAUUCACACAUGUGAUGACCUUAUGAGCCUAAUUGGCGAAAAUUGAGAACAUAGGAGUUUAAUUGGACCAAAAAAUUUUACAGGGGCUCAGUUGAGCCUUGGCCUUAGGGGGCUCACAAGAGCCUUGUCCUUUUUUUUUUCCCUCAUACUAGAAAGACAGAAAGGGGAAACACAUCUAUAAAAUCAGGGAUCCAAAGAAACAGAAGAUCCAAUUUCUAAAACCAUGCUUUUAAAAAAGGAAACAAAAAAGAAACCAAACAUCAAAUUUUCAUCUCAAAUAACAGAGGAAAAGUAUUAGCAGUUUACAUAAAUGAAACAAUCUAUUUGAUGAAAAAGCCUAGAAGAUCAAUCCAAGAUUUGGAUUUGAUUACUCUGCUUCAUUGUAGUAUUAUGAUUUUGUUAUCUUCUUGACUACGCUUACUGUGAAUAAGGUUAUUUCAUUAUAGAAUUUGUUAACAGGCAUUACUUUGGAGAUUGUAUUAUUAGGGUUUAAUUUUUAUUGAUUGCCUACAUUGUAGUUAGCUUGGUUCCUAUAAAAGAAGAACUGAAAUUGCAUAUCCUGCCUUUUAUUCUCUCUGUCUUCAGUCUUCUUCCUCUUGUCUUCUAUUAUUCUUUGACUCCCUUCCCUUGUCUCUCUUUCUUCUCCUCUAUCCAAUUUCCCAUCUCUUCUGAUAUUUAUUCUACAUCACACCUCAUGGUCAACCAAUUCCUAUGAAGGACAACCUUUUUCUACCAUCAUCUCUGUUUCCUAAGCUGGCACAAUAUCUUCAUAACUAUCAGCCACAGAGAACACAUUUAAUGACCUUUUAGGAUAUUUGUAUAUUCUCAUGCUAACAUGCACAGGAAGUCACCAAUUUGCACCUGGCCAAUACCUAACACAGAUCUACAAGGAAAUUUCUCUUAUAGUCUUACUACUACAGUACUACUACUAACUAAUUACUAUUGAUCAAAUCUCUAAAGAUAAGUAAUAUGAGAUGCACCACAAGAUUGAUCAAACCAACCAACGUAUGGAAUAAUAAUUAAUUAUUAUAUUCUUAAGAUGGUACAUAUCCGAACUAUCAAGCACUCAAAUAAUAAUUCAAUAAUAACAUAAGAGAAAGGUGCAACAUAUUUUUUAGAAAAAUGAAUACAAAUUCAAAGAAACAACAUGUAACCACUAAAAUAUCUGGAUGAAAAGGAAUGAAAACUUUCUAAAAAAAAAUAUAAGAAAAGCAGAAUCAGUUUGAUAACCAUCAAAUAACAAGAAACUUACCCUGACAGUAAUAUAGGAGGCUG
Molecule: unclassified non-coding RNA, 1406 nt
Filed under: Hevea brasiliensis (rubber tree)
Lineage: Eukaryota; Viridiplantae; Streptophyta; Magnoliopsida; Malpighiales; Euphorbiaceae
Source: RNAcentral